UACGAAGGGGGCUAGCGUUGCUCGGAAUUACUGGGCGUAAAGCGCACGUAGGCGGCUCUUUAAGUCGGGGGUGAAAUCCCGGGGCUCAACCUCGGAACUGCCUUUGAUACUGCAAAUCUCGAGUCCGAUAGAGGUGGGUGGAAUUCCUAGUGUAGAGGUGAAAUUCGUAGAUAUUAGGAAGAACACCGGUGGCGAAGGCGGCCCACUGGAUCGGUACUGACGCUGAGGUGCGAAAGCGUGGGGAGCAAACAGG
RNAcentral lists this ribosomal RNA (253 nucleotides) under uncultured bacterium. Its description in RNAcentral is "partial 16S ribosomal RNA". It matches the Rfam family "Bacterial small subunit ribosomal RNA", at positions 524 to 776 of the family's 1533-position model. The record is from RNAcentral.